Oncorhynchus mykiss (rainbow trout) is the source of this 2352-nucleotide non-coding RNA. Lineage: Eukaryota; Metazoa; Chordata; Actinopteri; Salmoniformes; Salmonidae. The record is from RefSeq and is a predicted model, not a curated record.
AUCAUGUCUGUGAGUAUAACAGAACUUAUCUAGCAGGCAAAACCCAGAGGACUAACUGUUCAGAAUUUUUUUUUCCUCCCAUCUCUCUUCCCUAUAUUGUCUUUGCCAUUGGAAAUUUAAUAGAAAUAUACUUUCAGUUCCUAUAUCUUCCACACGAUAUUGCCAGUGUUUGGAAUAUGGCUGAGGUUAUUUAUUUGUCUUAGCAGGAAGUAGGCCAACUCGGAACGGGGGACCCUUUUGUGAGUUGCACAAGAUGUGUAGAGCAGAGCUUUUUUCUUUUCGUUCAUGUAUUGAAUACAGAUUGCCCCGUCUACAAUUUGAUCAAUUUAUUAACGUUUAAAAAUACCCAAUGUUGUAUUACAAAAGUAGUUUGAAAUAUUUUGGCAAAGUUUAUAGGCAACUUUUGAAAUAUUUUGUAGUGAAUUUGCGUUUUUCUAAGCUGUUUUUUUCUGGAUCAAACAGGCUUUAUCAAUGGACAUUUUCAACAUAUAUGGAAGGAAUUAAUCGUACAAAAGGACCAAUUGUGAUGUUUAUGGGACAUAUUGGAGUGCCAACAAAAGAAGCUCAAAGGUCUACUCAAAAGCAUGUAGGAUGAAGACAAGUCAUCUCAAAGCUUUGUUUGGCUUCACCGAAUUUCUCAGGUCCACUCAAAAGCAUGUGGGAUGAAAAGACAAUUGUCAUCUCACAGCUUCUUCUGACUUCAUUGCUUUUCUCAGUCAUUAUUGAGGUUCAGUUGCCUAUUUCACUUAUGGGAGCGGCAGCUCCGGGCAGUGACAUCACCCUUAGAUGCUCUUUGUCUUCUUCUAAAAACCUGAACCUCAACCACCUGAUUGUCAACUGGCAGCAUGCAGAAUCAGUGGUGGUCCACAGCUAUUACCAUGGAAGAGAUCAGCUGGACAGAGUGUUGUUUACAAAGGAUGGACUCAUCUGUUUGAAGACCAGCUCGCUGUGGGAAAUGUCUCACUUAGACUGAGUGGUGUGCAGCCGAGUGACCAGGGCAAAAACACUUGUGAUGUGACAGAUGAACAGGCUAGCACCCUGGAAAACCUAAUACUUUUAGUGAGAUGUUAGAAAGUAUGUAUUUUUGUCCUUUCAGAUUUUUUAGGAAUCUUGCAUGUAUGGGGGAUAAAUAGACAUAAAAGUAUUAAACUAUCUGCGCAAAAUCAACUUAGUUAUCUACUUGCCUAAAGCCCUUUGCAGUCAGAAUUCUCCUUUGUUAAGAGUUGAAUAUGAGUAUUGUUGUUUCUGUUUACCCCUGGCCCCCUUCAAGAAUCCACAGCUCAGCUGUCUAUACAGUCAUCCUGUGACAGCUUCAUCAUCACCCUCACCUCCUCCCAGGGUUUCCCCCAGCCUGAUGUGUGGUGGACAGACUCCAUUGGAGGAGACAUCUACAAUUAGAGCCACUGCUAAAUCGGUCUGGAAAGCAGGGGGCGCUAUGAGGUCCACAGCUCCAUGGAGGUCAGGCCAAACAGUACACUCACCAUCAUUGCUGAAAUGAGACUGGAGGAUCUCAAUCAAAGCUUCACCCGCUCGCUCACCCUCCACCCACUCCCAGAAUGCUGUGAGCUGCCUCUUGCAACCGGGGGCAGACCGGCUUUGGUAUUAUUAGGGAUAGUUCUCUUAGCAGCUUCAGACGUCUGAAACACACCAACACCAGCUGAUCCCACAUGACUAUACAACAGGACAAGAUGAGGCUCAUGAAACAGAGACUUGAUACAUCAUGAACAAAAAUUAGUUAUAAAAGUCUAAGCUUACAGGACUGUUUCAAUGUCACAAAUAUAGGUGUGUGUGUUGCUGCCUUCUGAAAUAUUUCCACUCCCUAUUGGUAAUGUAUUAUAGAGUACUGCUAGCAGUAGACUUUGCUACUCUCUGCAGCCCUAUGUAAUCCAGACUAUUUUGUUUUCUUUGGGGAUGCAGAGCUGUCAUGAAGGUGAAGAGUGGCUGCUUUGAAGAGUCUCAAAUAUACAUUUAGAUUUGUUUAACACUUUUUUUGAUUACGGCAUGAUUUCAUCAAGUGUUAUUUCAUAGUUUUGAUGUCUUCACUAUUAUGCUACAAUGUAGAAAAUAGUACAAAUAAAGAAAAACCUUUGAAUGAGUUGGUGUGUCCAAACAUUUGACUGGUACUGUACAUUUUGUCCAAUGUUACUGUCAAAUGUGGCCUGGUAACAACAACUGGGAAAAGUACUAUCCACCUUACAGUUGGGCUGGUUGUAAAAGUUGAUGCUACAUGACGUUGUGGAUGUAACUGCAACGUCUGGGGCAUAUUACAGAAAUAUUUCACGUUAUUACAUGGUGCUUGGAGUCACUCUGUGAGACAGUUCAUUACAUUAAUGAUAUACCGUUGCUGCAACA